UAGGAAAGUCAUAAAUAUAUAAAUUAUAUUAUAUAAUUAAUAUAAUAAUAAAAUAAAUUAUAUAUUUUAUUUAUAAUAUUAUUUCUUUAUAAGAUAAAUAUUAUCUAAUUAAUAAUUAGAUUGAAUAAUAUUUAUAAAGAAAUAUAUAUAUAUAUAAAAAAUCAUUAUAUAAAUUUAAUUAUAAUUUAAAUAAAUUUUAUAUAAAUUAAUAUAAUAUUAAUAAAGUAAUUAGUAUAAAUAAAUAAUAUGAAAAUAAAACUUAAUAAAUAUAUAAAUAUAGUCCAUAUAUAUAUAUUAAUAAAAAAAAAGUAAUAUAUAUAUAUAUAUUGGAAUAGUUAUAUUAUUAUACAGAAAUAUGCUUAA
Molecule: unclassified non-coding RNA, 363 nt
Filed under: Saccharomyces cerevisiae (brewer's yeast)
Lineage: Eukaryota; Fungi; Ascomycota; Saccharomycetes; Saccharomycetales; Saccharomycetaceae
Source: RNAcentral